This is a long non-coding RNA of Cebus imitator (Panamanian white-faced capuchin), 529 nucleotides long. RefSeq lists it as uncharacterized. Lineage: Eukaryota; Metazoa; Chordata; Mammalia; Primates; Cebidae. The record is from RefSeq and is a predicted model, not a curated record. The transcript has 3 exons.
GAAUCUGCGGGCUAGGUGGGUGGCUCGCCAACCUGGACGAAGGGAAAUGAGGACCGCGGCUCCCGGGCGCGAGUAGGCGCGUGGAGUCCAGGGGCUUCACCGCCGCACCUCCUUCUCCUCCUGGAGCUGGAGACUGCACAGCGGCGGGCGCACCAGCAGCAGCGACGACCCUGAGCGCAGGUGGCAGUGUAGAAGCCAAACCGGGAGCUUCCAGAAGUGGCUUCUGAAAGAGUCCAAUGUACAUGAGUAAGCAAGCACAGGAAUCCUAAAAGCCACAGGCCCACUAAUUUGCCUGCUUGACUAAAAUAAGGACCAGUUAUGUGCCAAUGAGAGACAAGUUUGUAAUCUUAUUCAUUGUGACACAGUUCAAAAGAAUUUGCCUUUGAUUCUCAUUAAAAUGUAAACAUUUUGCAUAUUACCAUUACCAUCUUUUUCAACAGCUGAGCAACUCUUUAUGAUGAAGGGCAGAAGACGACAAAGGGAAGAAAACGCUUACCUUUGUUGGCUUUUACUUUCUUUCUUGGGAAUG